GAUGAACGCCGGCGGCGUGCCUAAUACAUGCAAGUCGAGCGGAUGGAUUAAGAGCUUGCUCUUAUGAAGUUAGCGGCGGACGGGUGAGUAACACGUGGGUAACCUGCCCAUAAGACUGGGAUAACUCCGGGAAACCGGGGCUAAUACCGGAUAACAUUUUGAACCGCAUGGUUCGAAAUUGAAAGGCGGCUUCGGCUGUCACUUAUGGAUGGACCCGCGUCGCAUUAACUAGUUGGUGAGGUAACGGCUCACCAAGGCAACGAUGCGUAGCCGACCUGAUAGGGUGAUCGGCCACACUAGGACUGAAACACGGCCCAGACUCCUACGGGAGGCAGCAGUAGGGAAUCUUCCGCAAUGGACGAAAGUCUGACGGAGCAACGCCGCGUGAGUGAUGAAGGCUUUCGGGUCGUAAAACUCUGUUGUUAGGGAAGAACAAGUGCUAGUUGAAUAAGCUGGCACCUUGACGGUACCUAACCAGAAAGCCACGGCUAACUACGUGCCAGCCGCCGCGGUAA
RNAcentral lists this ribosomal RNA (515 nucleotides) under uncultured bacterium. RNAcentral's name for it is "partial 16S ribosomal RNA". It matches the Rfam family "Bacterial small subunit ribosomal RNA", at positions 28 to 523 of the family's 1533-position model. The record is from RNAcentral.